RNAcentral lists this transfer RNA (69 nucleotides) under Panthera leo (lion). RNAcentral's name for it is "tRNA-Gly". RNAcentral also lists the same sequence under 2 other names. The record is from RNAcentral. Lineage: Eukaryota; Metazoa; Chordata; Mammalia; Carnivora; Felidae.
AUUCCUUUAGUAUCAACAAGUACAGCUGACUUCCAAUCAGCCAGUUUCGGUAGAAUCCGAAAAGGAAUA